UCAAGCGAACAAGGGCGCAGGGCGAAUGCCUUGGCACUGGGAGCCGAUGAAAGACGUGAUAAGCUGCGAUAAGCUUCGGGGAGCUGCAAAUAAGCAUUGAUCCGGAGAUUUCUGAAUGAGGAAACUCACCUGGGUUCAUACUCAGGUACGUUAUACUGAACUUAAAAAUAGGUAUAUCGAGGGAACCGCCUGAACUGAAACAUCUAAGUAGGGCGAGGAAGAGACAUCAAACGAGAUUCCGUUAGUAGUGGCGAGCGAACGCGGAAGAGGGCAAACCGGAAGGAGAAAUCCUUCCGGGGUAUGGACCGCUUUUAGGACUUUAGCUGUUAAUCGAAUGGCAUGGGAAGGCCAACCAAAGAGUGUGAGAGUCACGUAGAUGAAAACGGCGAGAGCUGCGCGAGUUCCGGAGUACGGCCAGACACGUGAAACCUGGUCGGAAGAUGGGGGGACCACCCUCCAACCCUAAAUACUACCCAGUGACCGAUAGCGUAUAGUACUGUGAAGGAAAGGUGAAAAGCACCCCGGGAGGGGAGUGAAAAAGAACCUGAAACCCUGUGCCUACAAGCACCUAGAGCACGUCAAUGUGUGAUAGGGUACUUUUUGUAGAACGGUCCGGCGAGCGAUUGUAUGCAGCAAGGUUAAGGACUUAAGGUCUGGAGCCGAAGCGAAAGCGAGUUUGAAAAGGGCGUUAAGUUGCAUACAAUGGGCCCGAAACCGGGUGACCUACCCAUGGUCAGGUUGAAGUGGAAGUAAAAUUCCAUGGAGGACCGAACCGACCUCCGUUGAAAAGGCGGCGGAUGAACUGUGGGUAGCGGAGAAAUUCCAAUCGAACCCGGAGAUAGCUGGUUCUCCCCGAAAUAGUUUUAGGACUAGCCUCAAGUUAGAUACCUGGAGGUAAAGCACUGAAUAGCCUAGCGGCCGAGAGGUUAGCGAAGCUUAUCAAACUCAGAAUGCCAGAGUAUUGAUGCUUGGGAGUCAGACAGUGUCAGAUAAAUGUCAUUGUCAAAAGGGAAACAGCCCAGAUCUACAGCUAAGGUCCCAAAGUCAGGUUAAGUGGAAAACGAUGUGAAGAUACGUAGACAACCAGGAUGUUGGCUCAGAAGCAGCCACACAUUCAAAGAGUGCGUAAUAGCUCACUGGUCGAGCGUCUUUGCGCGGAGAAUUUAACGGGGCUAAACCUGACACCGAAGCUUAGGCAAUACAGCAAUGUAUUGGGUAGGGGAGCGUUGUAUACGCGGUGAAACAGUAGCGCAAGCGGCUGUGGAGUGUAUAGAAGUGAGAAUGCCGGAAUGAGUAGCGCGAAUGCAGUGAGAAUCUGCAUGGCCGAAAGCCUCAGGUUUCUGGAGGAAGGUUCGUCCGCUCCAGGUUAGUCGGGAGCUAAGGUGAGGCCUAACGGCGUAGCCGAUGCACAGACGGUAGAGAUUCCGUCACCACCAAAAGAGUUAAACACAGGGACACAUUUGAAGUCUCGGAGCCGGGUGUUGGUUCCGGUAGCGAUCGAGGGAAGUUAGUACCGAAGUCCGGGAUGGAAGAUGGCGAGAAAAGCUGUGUGUAUUUCUGCGGUGCCCGUACCGCAAACCGACACAGGUAGGUAGGAAGAAGAUUCUAAGGCCAACGGGAGAAGGGUUGUUAAGGAACUCGGCAAAUUGACCCCGUAACUUCGGGAGAAGGGGUGCUCUAGAGAUAGAGCCGCAGAGAAUCGGCCCAAGCAACUGUUUACCAAAAACACAGGUUUGUGCUAAAUCGAAAGAUGACGUAUACGAGCUGACGCCUGCCCGGUGCUGGAAGGUUAAAAGGAGAUGUGCAAGCAUUGAAUUGAAGCCCCAGUGAACGGCGGCCGUAACUAUAACGGUCCUAAGGUAGCGAAAUUCCUUGUCAGGUAAGUUCUGACCCGCAUGAAAGGCGUAAUGAUCUGGGCACUGUCUCAACAGCCCGCCCGGCGAAAUUGUAGUACCGGUGAAGAUGCCGGUUACCCGCGACAAGACGGAAAGACCCCAUGGAGCUUUACUGUAGCCUGAUAUUGGGUUUCGGUGUUGCAUGCACAGGAUAGAUGGGACACUGGGAAGCGGAUGCUUUGGCGUUCGUGGAGUGGACGUUGGGAUACCAUCCUUGCGACAUUGGAAUUCUAACCUGCGCCUCUGAAUCGAGGCGGGGGACAUUGUCAGGUGGGCAGUUUGACUGGGGCGGUCGCCUCCUAAAAAGUAACGGAGGCGUUCAAAGG
This 2221-nucleotide ribosomal RNA is filed under the name human gut metagenome. RNAcentral describes it as "bacterial LSU rRNA". It matches the Rfam family "Bacterial large subunit ribosomal RNA", at positions 3 to 2316 of the family's 2925-position model. The record is from RNAcentral.